This 241-nucleotide ribosomal RNA is filed under the name uncultured Staphylococcus sp. Its description in RNAcentral is "partial 16S ribosomal RNA". It matches the Rfam family "Bacterial small subunit ribosomal RNA", at positions 99 to 334 of the family's 1533-position model. The record is from RNAcentral. Lineage: Bacteria; Bacillati; Bacillota; Bacilli; Caryophanales; Staphylococcaceae.
CGGACGGGUGAGUAACACGUGGAUAACCUACCUAUAAGACUGGGAUAACUUCGGGAAACCGGAGCUAAUACCGGAUAAUAUUUUAAACCGCAUGGUUCAAAAGUGAAAGACGGUCUUGCUGUCACUUAUAGAUGGAUCCGCGCUGCAUUAGCUAGUUGGUAAGGUAACGGCUUACCAAGGCAACUAUGCAUAGCCGACCUGAGAGGGUGAUCGGCCACACUGGAACUGAGACACGGUCCAG